GUCGAGCGAACGGACGAGAAGCUUGCUUCUCUGAUGUUAGCGGCGGAGGGUGAGUAACACGUGGAUAACCUACCUAUAAGACUGGGAUAACUUCGGGAAACCGGAGCUAAUACCGGAUAAUAUUUUGAACCGCAUGGUUCAAAAGUGAAAGACGGUCUUGCUGUCACUUAUAGAUGGAUCCGCGCUGCAUUAGCUAGUUGGUAAGGUAACGGCUUACCAAGGCAACGAUGCAUAGCCGACCUGAGAGGGUGAUCGGCCACACUGGAACUGAGACACGGUCCAGACUCCUACGGGAGGCAGCAGUAGGGAAUCUUCCGCAAUGGGCGAAAGCCUGACGGAGCAACGCCGCGUGAGUGAUGAAGGUCUUCGGAUCGUAAAACUCUGUUAUUAGGGAAGAACAUAUGUGUAAGUAACUGUGCACAUCUUGACGGUACCUAAUCAGAAAGCCACGGCUAACUACGUGCCAGCAGCCGCGGUAAUACGUAGGUGGCAAGCGUUAUCCGGAAUUAUUGGGCGUAAAGCGCGCGUAGGCGGUUUUUUAAGUCUGAUGUGAAAGCCCACGGCUCAACCGUGGAGGGUCAUUGGAAACUGGAAAACUUGAGUGCAGAAGAGGAAAGUGGAAUUCCAUGUGUAGCGGUGAAAUGCGCAGAGAUAUGGAGGAACACCAGUGGCGAAAGGCGACUUUCUGGUCUGUAACUGACGCUGAUGUGCGAAAGCGUGGGGAUCAAACAGGAUUAGAUACCCUGGUAGUCCACGCCGUAAACGAUGAGUGCUAAGUGUUAGGGGGUUUCCGCCCCCUUAGUGCUGC
RNAcentral lists this ribosomal RNA (808 nucleotides) under Staphylococcus aureus. RNAcentral describes it as "bacterial SSU rRNA". It matches the Rfam family "Bacterial small subunit ribosomal RNA", at positions 61 to 849 of the family's 1533-position model. The record is from RNAcentral. Lineage: Bacteria; Bacillati; Bacillota; Bacilli; Caryophanales; Staphylococcaceae.